This 348-nucleotide unclassified non-coding RNA is filed under the name soil metagenome. RNAcentral describes it as "partial contains 5.8S ribosomal RNA, internal transcribed spacer 2, and large subunit ribosomal RNA". The stretch from base 1 to 120 matches the Rfam family "5.8S ribosomal RNA", at positions 35 to 154 of the family's 154-position model. The record is from RNAcentral.
GAUGAAGAACGCAGCGAAAUGCGAUAAGUAAUGUGAAUUGCAGAAUUCAGUGAAUCAUCGUAUCUUUGAACGCACAUUGCGCCCGCCAGUAUUCUGGCGGGCAUGCCUGUCUGAGCGUCAUUUCAACCCUCAUGCCCCUAGGGCGUGGUGUUGGGGAUCGGCCAAAGCCCGCGAGGGACGGCCGGCCCCUAAAUCUAGUGGCGGACCCGUCGUGGCCUCCUCUGCGAAGUAGUGAUAUUCCGCAUCGGAGAGCGAUGAGCCCCUGCCGUUAAACCCCCAACUUUCCAAGGUUGACCUCAGAUCAGGUAGGAAUACCCGCUGAACUUAAGCAUAUCAAUAAGCGGAGGA